Molecule: non-coding RNA, 349 nt
Organism: Rattus norvegicus (Norway rat)
Lineage: Eukaryota; Metazoa; Chordata; Mammalia; Rodentia; Muridae
Source: Rfam
GGAUGUGAGGGCGAUCUGGCUGCGACAUCUGUCACCCCAUUGAUCGCCAGGUUUGAUUCGGCUGAUCUGGCUGGCUAGGCGGGUGUCCCCUUCCUCCCUCACCGCUCCAUGUGCGUCCCUCCCGAAGCUGCGCGCUCGGUCGAAGAGGACGACCUUCCCCGAAUAGAGGAGGACUGGUCUUCGGUCAAGGGUAUACGAGUAGCUGCGCUCCCCUGCUAGAACCUCCAAACAAGCUCUCGAAAAAGCAAGAAACUAAUGGUCUGGCAACAAAACAAAGAGAAGAAAAGCACACAAACAUAACCUCACGUCCAAAUAUGAAUAUAACAGGGAGCAAUAAUCACUAUUCCUU